GAGGGUAUAGCUCAGUGAUAGAGUGGAUGCUUAGCAUGCACGAGGUCCUGAGUUCAAUCCCCAGUACCUCCA
Molecule: transfer RNA, 72 nt
Organism: Camelus ferus (Wild Bactrian camel)
Lineage: Eukaryota; Metazoa; Chordata; Mammalia; Artiodactyla; Camelidae
Rfam family: tRNA
About the family: Transfer RNA (tRNA) molecules are approximately 80 nucleotides in length.
Source: Rfam